Non-coding RNA from Rattus norvegicus (Norway rat), 652 nucleotides. The record is from RefSeq and is a predicted model, not a curated record. Lineage: Eukaryota; Metazoa; Chordata; Mammalia; Rodentia; Muridae.
AUUCAGGGCCCAGCCUGUGGAUCCCACAUGCUGCUCAUGGAAAUGCCCUCCUACACACACCAGGUCCCUGGUGGUCACAGUCAAAUAAACACUGAAGAAGAACCUUCACAGCAGCCUGCAGAAAUGACGGUGGAGACUGUGGUUUGUUCCUUUGAAAAUUCAUGUUGAAAUUUGACGGCUAACCAGCUAACCAUCAAAGGACACAGGGAUCACGGCACCGCAGGACGAAGGUGCUGUGAACAGCAAAAAGAAGUCGCUUGACUUUAGCAACGUCUUCGAAUGUUUCAGUACCUUCUGCAGCGAUGAUCCUGCACCUGACCACUCUGCAUAUAGCGUACACUGUGAAGGGCCUGGGUGGAAUGGCUCUCUCCCCUAGGGACCAGUGAGAAUCGCUGCCCCAGCCUGAUGCUUCUGGGCUUGUAGGACCUGGAGUGGUGUCCCCGUAGCAUUGAACUAGCCUGUGCCGCCUGUGCAGCUUGGCAGAUCCUAGCCCUAAGUGCUGGUGAUGGAACCCAGGGUCUCACCUGCAGGACAAGAGCCCUGCUGCCUAGAAUGUAAUGAGAUCUGAUGCCCUCUUCUGGUGUGUCUGAAGACAGACACAGUGUAUGAGCAUACAUAAAAUAAAUAAAAUCUUUGAAAAAAGAAAAAGAAA